AACUCUUCAAACCAAACCUUCAAAGACUCUGAAGGAGCAGAGGGGACACAAUGGAUCAUUAACAGCCGGGAUGAGGUCGAGGAACAAGACACCGGCCGCGUACUCCUUGUGAUGGUGCCAAACAAGCAGAGAAGGCAGAGUCCCUCCCACCGUGGACUUCUCACUCCUGGGAGCGAUGUCCACCCCCUUCCCGACUGCAAGAGGGAUGUCGGAUUUAAUCCUCAGGCUUGUUCCGUCUUGGUUUCGAGACAGCUGUAGCAACUCCAGCCAUUGCGUCUUUCCCACCCCGGGUCGGAUUUGAUCACUCAUAGCUUCUGUAACAAUUAACACAGACUUGGUACUUUAGAACAGCAGGGACUUGUUCUCUAAGAGGCCGAAGUCAGCAUCACUGAGGUGAAAUAAAGGUGUUGAUGGGGUUCUGCACCCACUG
This 430-nucleotide long non-coding RNA is filed under the name Mus pahari (shrew mouse). RNAcentral describes it as "lncRNA (MGP_PahariEiJ_G0005692.1)". The record is from RNAcentral. Lineage: Eukaryota; Metazoa; Chordata; Mammalia; Rodentia; Muridae.